GCCAGAUGCUGUGGUGUGCACCUAUAGUCCCAGCUACCUGGCAGGCUGAGGUGGGAGGAUCACUUGAGCCCAGGAGUUCUAGUCUGUAGUGUGUUAUGAUCACAUCUGUGAAUAGCCACUGCACUCCAGCCUGGGCAAGAUAGCAAGAUCUUACGUCUU
This is a non-coding RNA of Pan troglodytes (chimpanzee), 159 nucleotides long. It matches the Rfam family "Metazoan signal recognition particle RNA". Rfam says of the family: The signal recognition particle (SRP) is a universally conserved ribonucleoprotein. Lineage: Eukaryota; Metazoa; Chordata; Mammalia; Primates; Hominidae. The record is from Rfam.